ACCCACUCAGGAUCACACCUGGAGAGUUUCCAGUACUCUACCAGUUUCUACUACAGAUGGAAGAGUCAGGCAGAGGCCUAUCCAUUCCAUUCCUAGUUUGGGCAGUGCCUAGAGAGUGGAAAGAAAUCUGCUACAAGU
This is a small nucleolar RNA of Tachyglossus aculeatus (Australian echidna), 138 nucleotides long. NCBI's taxonomy places the organism in Eukaryota, Metazoa, Chordata, Mammalia, Monotremata, Tachyglossidae. The record is from RefSeq and is a predicted model, not a curated record.